This 72-nucleotide transfer RNA is filed under the name Ictidomys tridecemlineatus (thirteen-lined ground squirrel). RNAcentral describes it as "Spermophilus tridecemlineatus (thirteen-lined ground squirrel) tRNA". It matches the Rfam family "tRNA". Rfam says of the family: Transfer RNA (tRNA) molecules are approximately 80 nucleotides in length. Their secondary structure includes four short double-helical elements and three loops (D, anti-codon, and T loops). The record is from Rfam by way of RNAcentral. Lineage: Eukaryota; Metazoa; Chordata; Mammalia; Rodentia; Sciuridae.
UGGGGUAUAGCUUGGUGGCAAAGCAUUUGCUUCACAUGCACGAAGCCCUGGGUUCAAUCCCCAGUUCCAAAA